This 30-nucleotide transfer RNA is filed under the name Canis lupus (wolf). RNAcentral's name for it is "partial tRNA-Pro". Lineage: Eukaryota; Metazoa; Chordata; Mammalia; Carnivora; Canidae. The record is from RNAcentral.
AAGCUGAAAUUCUUCUUAAACUAUUCCCUG